RNAcentral lists this ribosomal RNA (254 nucleotides) under uncultured bacterium. Its description in RNAcentral is "partial 16S ribosomal RNA". It matches the Rfam family "Bacterial small subunit ribosomal RNA", at positions 524 to 776 of the family's 1533-position model. The record is from RNAcentral.
CACGUAGGGUGCGAGCGUUGUCCGGAUUCAUUGGGCGUAAAGAGCUCGUAGGCGGUUCAGUAAGUCGGGUGUGAAACCUCCAGGCUCAACCUGGAGACGCCACCCGAUACUGCUGUGACUAGAGUCCAGUAGGGGAGCGUGGAAUUCCUGGUGUAGCGGUGAAAUGCGCAGAUAUCAGGAGGAACACCAGCGGCGAAGGCGGCGCUCUGGGCUGGAACUGACGCUGAGGAGCGAAAGCGUGGGGAGCGAACAGG